This 79-nucleotide unclassified non-coding RNA is filed under the name Pseudomonas trivialis. Lineage: Bacteria; Pseudomonadati; Pseudomonadota; Gammaproteobacteria; Pseudomonadales; Pseudomonadaceae. The record is from RNAcentral.
UUUUGUGGUGAAUGGGUUGUUGUGGCGAGCGGGCUUGCCACAAAAGCCCGCUCGCCACAACAACCCAUUCACCAGCGAC